GUAGGCGGCAGAGUAAGUAGGUAGUGAAAUCGUGGGGCUCAACACCAUACACAUUACCUAAACUGCUCAGCUAGAGAAUGGGAGAGGUCACUGGAAUUCCUUGUGUAGGAGUGAAAUCCGUAGAUAUAAGGAGGAACACCGAUGGCGUAGGCAGGUGACUGGCCCAUUUCUGACGCUCAGGCACGAAAGCGUGGGGAGCGACCGGGUUUAGAUACCCCGUUAGUCCACGCCGUAAACUAUGGAUGCUAGCUGUUGGACGUAUCGACCCGUUCAGUAGCGAAGCUAACGCGUUAAGCAUCCCGCCUGUGGAGUACGAGCGCAAGCUUAAAACAUAAAGGAAUUGACGGGGACCCGCACAAGCGGUGGAGCGUGUUCUUUAAUUCGAUGGUAAGCGAAGAACCUUACCCAGGCUUGACAUCCUUGGAAUUUCUGCGAAAGCAGAGAGUGCCUUCGGGAAUCAAGUGACAGGUGAUGCAUGGCCGUCGUCAGCUCGUGUCGUGAGAUGUUUGGUUAAGUCCAUCAACGAGCGCAACCCCUGUGAUUAGUUGAAUUUUUCUAAUCAGACUGCCCUGGUAACAGGGAGGAAGGAGGGGAUGAGGUCAGGUCAGUAUCUCCCUUACGCCUGGGGCUAGAAACACGCUACAAUGGCCGGUACAAAGGGCUGCCAACCCGCGAGGGGGAGCAAAUCCCAUCAAAGCCGGUCUCAGUUCGGAUAGCAGGCUGAAACUCGCCUGCUUGAAGAUGGAAUCGCUAGUAACGGUAGGUCAGCACACUACCGUGAAUACGUUCCCGGGUCUUGUACACACCGCCCGUCAAACCAUGGAAGUCACCAAUACCUGACGUCCUAGCUUGCCUAGGCCUAAGGUAGGGGGGAUGAUUGGGGUU
RNAcentral lists this ribosomal RNA (885 nucleotides) under uncultured Candidatus Saccharibacteria bacterium. RNAcentral describes it as "bacterial SSU rRNA". It matches the Rfam family "Bacterial small subunit ribosomal RNA", at positions 571 to 1482 of the family's 1533-position model. Lineage: Bacteria; Candidatus Saccharimonadota. The record is from RNAcentral.